AGGGGUGUGACUUAGUGGUUGAGUAUUAGCCUAGCAUGCUCAAAGCUCUGGGUUCAAUCCCCAGCACCACAG
This 72-nucleotide transfer RNA is filed under the name Cricetulus griseus (Chinese hamster). It matches the Rfam family "tRNA". From Rfam's summary of the family: Transfer RNA (tRNA) molecules are approximately 80 nucleotides in length. Their secondary structure includes four short double-helical elements and three loops (D, anti-codon, and T loops). The record is from Rfam by way of RNAcentral. Lineage: Eukaryota; Metazoa; Chordata; Mammalia; Rodentia; Cricetidae.